This 83-nucleotide transfer RNA is filed under the name Crocinitomix sp. Its description in RNAcentral is "tRNA-Leu". It matches the Rfam family "tRNA". Rfam says of the family: Transfer RNA (tRNA) molecules are approximately 80 nucleotides in length. Lineage: Bacteria; Pseudomonadati; Bacteroidota; Flavobacteriia; Flavobacteriales; Crocinitomicaceae. The record is from RNAcentral. RNAcentral also lists the same sequence under 1 other name.
GCCCAGGUGCUGAAAUUGGUAGACAGGCCGCCUUGAGGGGGCGGUGUCCUUUGGACGUGGGGGUUCGAGUCCCCCUCUGGGCA